AUUCCGGGGGCUCGCGGAGGGCGGUGGGUUGGGGUUGAGCUAAAGACCGCGGAGGGAAGCGGGAGUUAGCGCACGCGACGCUUGGGGAGCUGUGAGUGGAGGUUGGGGUAAAAAAGUUCCAGCCGGAAGGUGAAUCUGGGCUUGGCAGCUGCAAAGUUUUAGCCAAAGAAAGGGAAAGUGCUCUCCCAGCUGCUACCCCGCCACCUUCACCAGCCCCUCCCCAUUGCCACCACUGCUCGAGGAGUGUCUUAGAUACUGCAAGUCCUAGCUUGAGAGAAAACAAAAAGAUUGUUUUGACGGACAAAGUAUGAGUGCAGGUGUAUCUCACUUAGUGCAAUGUGUUCUAGAAAUGAUCUAUCAUGUUAACCGCACAGAGGUCUUGAUAUUGAAAGGAAAUUUGCAGCGAUUCCUUUUCAAUAAUUCCUUUUGUUUCCGGACACGUUGGUGCACACUUGUAAUCAUAGCAACUUGGGAAUUUGGCAGAAGGAUCGCAAAUUCUAGGCCAACCUCAGCAACUUAGCUAAGCCAUAAGCAGUUUAACAAAAUCCUGUCUCAAGAUGUGGCUCAGUGGUAGAGCACCGCUGGAUUUAAUCCCCAGUAUUAAAAAAAAAAAAAAAAAAAUUGUCCAAAAAAUCACCACAGAUUUCUUAAGUCUACCUUUUAUUUUUUUUUAAUUAGUGCAUGCUGCAGCAUUAAUUAUUAGAUAAUCAAAACUUGCAAAAUGGACCCACAUAUUUAAUGGUGUCCCCCAUCAGCCCGCCUCCAAGCCUACCAAAUUAAAAAUACAAGUUUGCAGCUUUCAAUUAUUUUUAAUUACCUUUAUUUUAAUUCAUAUGUCGGGCUGAGACACAAUGGAAGUGAAAUCGAGAAACAAUGUAAUUUGGAAAUACCAACUCCCCCAAAUAUCAAAUCCCAUGAUCAGUAUAACACUAUUAAACUAAAGUAGUUCUUGUUGCCACAUAUUAAUUAAUUGAUCCAUCAGUGAUAGAAAAAUCAGUCACCACCAAAUCAGAUUUCAGACCUUUUAAUUUUUAUGUAUUGGAAAGGGCUCUUGUCUAAACUACUCAUAAAUGUGCCUAACACCUUGCACAGUACCUGCACUUAGUAGGUACUCAAGAAUAAAUAAAUGCUAAUGUUACUGAGUGAAAGAAAAUAACUUGGCCCUAAUUUACCUUACUUCAUAACUAUAUUUCCCUGUGUAAGUUGUGUUAUUGUUUGCAUCAGAGGCUCUACUCUCUAAAUUUGCUGUGAUUUAUACUACCUUUAAUACCAAGUCUGCCUGUCAUCUGGAAUAAUUUUAUCUGCAUCUGUAUUUGCAAAAAUCUUACUGAUCCUUUACAUUCAGUUUCCUUCACUAUGAGAUCAUCUUUGACCUCAUCUUUGUCCGUCUCCCAGAUGGACAUGAUCUCAAGUUCUUCCAAACUCCAAUAGUGUUUUAUUCCUACCCAGCACCACAACCCUCUGGUAUAUUUAUAGCAGGGGAGGAAAGGUAUGUGUUUGUUGUUUUAUAUAAUUUGUGUGCAUUUCCUACCUCCCUUAAAAGAAAAUCCAUAAAUUCCCUAAGGGCAGAGACUAUAGUUGACCAGUGUAUUCUCCACAAACUACAACAUCUUAAAUACUGUAUUACUUAAUACUUAAUAAUUACUUAGUACUUAAAUACUGUAAAGAAGUUUUGUUUUUCCUGUGGUGCUGGGGAUCAUACCCAGGGCCUCAAGCUUGAUAGGCAAACACUGAACUGCAUCUGCAGCCCUACCGUCUGUGAUGAAUAAAUAUUUUCAAAUUACUAUCAAUUUUAAUUUAAAGAAAACAAACGACUUCAAUUUCCAGUCUAUUGCUUAACUCUCCACUAGACCAUACUUCAUUGGUGUUGUUUUAAAAAUUAGUAAUGGAUAAGAAACACAGUUUGUUAAAUAAUCUUAAUUCUUAUCUAGGAAAAUACUAGGAAAUGUUACACUGUAAUGUGCAUACAUUCAUAUUUAUUAUUCUUACAAUAUUUUUAUUCCAUGGACCUAAGGCUAUUUAAUGAAUACUCAAAGCAUAAAAUUGUUUCCCAGUAAAAUAUUCCCACAGGAAAUGACUGAUAACAAAGCUGCCAGUAAGAGUGUCUAUAAACACAAUUUGAUCUCUAUCUCAGAAAUUGUUUCCAUUCCAACUCUGUUGCAAAAUCUUUUCAUUCUUUGUAGUUAAUAGAGUUUUUAAAAACAUCAUAAGCUGCAUAUGUAUAUUUACAUAUAUAAAUAUGUCUAAGUUAAACGUCAUCCUUAAUUCAACUUGUUCAGGAGUUAUAAAACAUUAGUCAGUAUAAUAUACUAUGCAUUUUUCUAGGUAUUACUCAAAACCAAGUCUGAUGCAACACACCACACCUAAACUCAAUAUUACUUUAAAAUUGAGAAUGUUCUAUCACAUGAAUUCACAAUUUUAACAUUUUGAGUCACAACAAAUUAACAAGGCACUUGAGGUCAUGGAUACUAAUUUUAAAAAUAUAAAUCCCACUUUUCUAUGUGUGCAUUAAUUUCAAUAACAAGUUUGUGAAAGUAUAAUUCUAAGGAAAUAGUACUCACAGAACUUACAUUAUACAUAAUUCAGAAAGUAACAAAAUAUGAACAUAGCUAUACUUUCAAGAUCUUUCAUUUUAGCAAUUUAUGCCCUGUUCUCUCACAUAUCAAUUUUCUUAUCUUUCUAAUCAUCAGAUUACUAUGAAAAUUAGGGGAUAAGUAUACAUCUUCCUGUGUUUAUACUUGUUUUUCAAUGACUUGGAAAUCAUUUUGAUGCCCCACAAAUUAACAACUGUGUGUUGGCACUGUCACAAAAGAUAUAACAACUAUGGGAUAGUAGGGAUUCAGUAAGGCAGGGAGCCAAGCUGGGGGGGUUAAUACUGACUCAGUCUGGGUGAAGGGGGGAAAAAAGCAGGGCAGGUUGAGGCAGAAGGCUAAGUUUAACAGCAAUGGAAAGGAAGUGUCUAUGUAACAGUUAUUUUUAGGUCAUUUAGAGUGUGUUUGUCUCACUGGUGCUCAGUCUUCUGUUAUAUUCUUACUGGAACCAAAAGCAAGUUUCACUAUGGCAUUUGCCCAAUUCUUUUUCCCUAAUCUAUCUCACAAGCAGUUCCAUCAGUAAGGAGUAAAAGGUACAUUAGCCUAAACCAUCUACUAAACUGCCCUGAGAGUCAUGGCAUAUAUGGCAUGUUCUUCAUACAGCAAUUUUUACUGUUUCAUAAUUAACAAUUUGUGGCAAUUUAUAACUUAUUACUAUCUCCAGUCAAAGAGACUUUUCCUAUAUGUAUGCAUGUGAGUGCUCUAACAUUUAUAAAUGUACACUGUUUUAGAAUAUUCACAGAUAUUUCAGAUUCCCUAUCAUAUACAUGUGAUAUGUAGAGUAACUUGCUCAAGUUAACCAUAAUAAGGGAAGAAGAAUUCAAUCCUUUCUGUCUGAUACCAAAAUUACUACACCCCUGCAGCAUUUCCUUAAACAUAAAUAAAGACAAGGCAUUUGCUAUAAUAGUACUUGCACUGACUUGAACCUUUGUUUUUAUAAAUUAUUUAGUUGAUCACCUUCCCAGAAGUUUAAUAUUUUAUGAGCUUUUUGUCAAAUGUAUCUGAACAUUGGAAAGCUGCUUGUUGAACAUUUGAAUUUUUUCUCAAUGCAGUCCUCUUCAAGGCUAUUAGUACUAAGUUCUUUAUUUCCACUUAAUUGUAAAUCUAUUUUCAUUGAACCACAAUGUGGAAUUUCAUCCUGAUUGUAGGAUAAGCUAUAACUAAAUACUUCAAAGGGAAUAUAAAGGCAUCCCUUAUGACCUAAAGGUCUCAGAUAAACCUUUUUCAAGAACAGAAUAUAUGGGCUGGGUGCAUACCUAUAAUCUUAGCAACAUGGGAGGCUAAGACAGGAGGAUUAUAAAUUCAAGGCCAGACUCGGCAAUUUAGUGAGACUCUAUCUCAAAAUAAAAAUGACUAGGGAUGUAGCUCAGUGGUAAAGUACCCUAGGUUCACUCGCUAGUACAAAAAAAAAAAAAAAAGUAAAGGGAAAUUCAGCUCACCUUUAACUUACAUGAUUAAACCACCAGGUAACCAAAGAUGAUGAAAGGUAGUUGUUCUGUUUCAAAGUUAUUAAUCUCAUAAAUUAAGAUUUGGAAUGUCAUCGUUUUGCACUGUAAUGAAGUAAUGGGCCUAAUAAUGAAUCCAGACAAAAAUUGCCAGUGGCCAAUGUUAAAAGAGAGAGGCAACUUGACAUAUGCCUCUAAUCAAUACCAGCUAUGAUUUUAUUCAUUUUAGUGUUAUUACCAAAAAUGAAAUUGUUCAGUUUCAAGUUCUGAAGACCAAUUUCCAGGAAUUGCAAGAAACAGAAGAGCAUGAAAACACUAUAGGCAUGCAGUCAACAAAAUCCAACUGUAGGAAACUAUAUGAAAAAUACUCAUUUCUUCAACAGCCUAACUAAUUGCAAUUUAUAGACUUUAUUUAAAGCCUGAUCUGAACAAAACAUCUGUUAAAAAAAAUAAUCAGCCAAUCAGGAAGAUUUGAACACUGGCUAGCUAUUUGAUGAUAUUGAAAAUUGUUACAAUUUUAGAUUUUUUAAAAAAUGUCAUUUUUUAAAAAUGCUCUCACUUUUCUUCUCAUUACGCUGAGAUAAUAGAAAACACUCAGGAGAGAACUUUCUCAUCCUCCAUUACUGUACCUACUAACCAUCACUACCUGUGAAUUGAUAGUCCACUGUGACCUUCCUUCCCCAUUAAAAGAGAUGAGCUACCCCUAUCCCUGAGGCCAAAUCUCUGUCCUCUACUUCAUACCUCUCAAUUCAAAUUGCCAUCCAAUCCUACUGACUCCCUUGUUCCUCUAACACACCAAAUUCAUUCCUGCCUCACAGUCUAUGCAUUUGCUGUUCCAUCUGCCUGAAAUGAUUUCCUCAUGACCAUCCUCCCUCCAUCCAGGUCUUACCUCAAAUGUUACCUUCUCAUAGAGCCCCUCCCUGAUCACCCUCUCUAAAAUAAUACUUGUGACUCUUCUUGUUCAUGUGUUUUUCUUUAUUGAAUUUAUUUAUGUUACACAUUGUAUUUAUUUUCAUAAAUGUACUAUUUAACAUUAUAUUGGAUGUCUAUUUGCUUGUUUAUGUGACACCAUUGCCUCAGCUUAUAGAACACUUUUUUUUCUCAUGUAGAUGCUCCAUAUACAUUAAUUGAAUGAAAAUGUGAUUCUCAUGCCCAAGACAAGUUAUCACAUGUUUCCAUUUCCCCCAUAGUGAAAUUGGUUUGUCAUUGUUUCACAGGGUGUUGUUCAGAGGAUCAAAAGAGGUAACAGUCAAUACAGUCGAACCUUGAAAACAUGUGAAAGAGGUCAGACACAAAAGACCACAUGCUGUAUGAUUUCAUUUUUAUGAAGGAUCCAGAACAGGCAGAUACACAGAGAUAGAAAGUUGAUUAGUGGUUGCCAGCAGCGGUGGGAAGGGGAAGUUAAGAGUGAUUGCUAAAGAGCUUGUGGCUUAUUUCUAGGUGAUAAAAAUAUUCUGGAAUUAGAUGUGGGUGAUGAUUGUAAAUAUACUAGAACCUACUGAGUUUUAUAGUAUGUAUAUUAUAUCUCAAUACAAAAAAAAAAAAAAAGAUGUACUUUCUUGCCCUGUUGUCUUUUGCUAUACUCUCAAC
RNAcentral lists this long non-coding RNA (5626 nucleotides) under Marmota monax (woodchuck). The record is from RNAcentral. Lineage: Eukaryota; Metazoa; Chordata; Mammalia; Rodentia; Sciuridae.